CUGGCCGUAAACGAUGGAUGCCAGGUGUGCGUGCAGAGAUGCAUACGUGCCGCAGUCAACGCGAUAAGCAUCCCGCCUGGGGAGUACGGUCGCAAGAUUGAAACUCAAAGGAAUUGACGGGGGCCCGCACAAGCGGUGGAGCACGUGGUUUAAUUCGAUGCAAACCGAAGAACCUUACCCGGGUUUGACAUGCGCGUGUUACGGAGACGAAAGUCGAAGGACCCUUUCGCAAGGAUGGGAGCGCGCACAGGUGC
Molecule: ribosomal RNA, 254 nt
Filed under: uncultured Synergistaceae bacterium
Lineage: Bacteria; Thermotogati; Synergistota; Synergistia; Synergistales; Synergistaceae
Description: partial 16S ribosomal RNA
Rfam family: Bacterial small subunit ribosomal RNA
Source: RNAcentral